RNAcentral lists this ribosomal RNA (305 nucleotides) under uncultured bacterium. RNAcentral describes it as "bacterial SSU rRNA". It matches the Rfam family "Bacterial small subunit ribosomal RNA", at positions 338 to 660 of the family's 1533-position model. The record is from RNAcentral.
CCUACGGGAGGCAGCAGUGGGGAAUAUUGCACAAUGGGGGGAACCCUGAUGCAGCAAUGCCGCGUGGGUGAAGAAGCACUCCGGUGCGUAAAGCCCUGUCAGCAGGGAAGAAAAUGACAGUACCUGGACAAGAAGCCCCGGCUAACUACGUGCCAGCAGCCGCGGUAAUACGUAGGGGGCAAGCGUUAUCCGGAUUUACUGGGUGUAAAGGGAGAGUAGGUGGCAGAGCAAGUCCGAAGUGAAAACCCAAAGCUCAACUAUGGGAAUGCUUUAGAAACUGCUCAGCUAGAGUGCAGGAGAGGCAA